This 1247-nucleotide long non-coding RNA is filed under the name Anas platyrhynchos platyrhynchos (common mallard). RNAcentral describes it as "lncRNA (ENSAPLG00000028906.1)". Lineage: Eukaryota; Metazoa; Chordata; Aves; Anseriformes; Anatidae. The record is from RNAcentral.
AGAAAGCUGCACAGUAUGUAGGCAGUCAGCUUUAUCCAGCACGCAAUCUUGUUGGCUGUCACUGUAAGAUUGUUAAAGCUUGUGUCCUAGCCAUCACUUGUCAUGAGGAUCUCUACAGAGGCAGGACCAUCUAUGUAUGUUUCUCGCUCUAGCCACCCAGGCUCUUGGGGCUUGUUGGCUCCAGGGGAUGCUGGUGGGCUGCUGCAUGCCUGAGAGAUGGCUGGGGAGGUACCAAAAAAUGAUGAGGUUACAGAGCUGAGAUUGAAGACGCUUUGAAGGCAGGAGUGGUAAUGGGAAAUACUGGAGAAGACUGAAUGUGAGAGGCAGAUUUUGCAGGAGAGGGAAGUAUAGAAGUGGAAAAGGGGGAUACAUGUAUGAGCAGAAGGGAGGUAAGACUGUUGUAUUGCGUGUGGGAAGAGAUUGGGAAUAUAGUGUGUGUUGGAAGGCAGGUCAGAGCUGUAAGGCAGGGGAGGUAUUAGAAUGUUGGUCUGUGUCAGAGGAGAUCCUCCCCAUGCAUCUGAACAAUUUACCAUCCAGUGGCUGAGUAUGCAGUCUGACAACUGACGCACGGUGGCUGCAACCCCAACCCACCAGCUGCUCAGCAAAAGCUGCUGCCUGAGGCUGAGCUGGAUGCACGUGUCUGAUGCCUACCACCAUUAACAAAAUGGUUAACUUACACAUACUCAUCUGUGUUGGCCCAGAGUAAUCUCCAAAUGGAAGAACCUCAUGGCAGGACAAGAUGCCCACCAACAGCACCAGUCAGUUCUGCCCCAGGUGAAAGAAGGAUUCAGCCAAUGGCAUCGCAAGGGCAAAUACUGGGUAUUAAUUUCACAGCUUUUCAUGCUGUAUGGAAGACACAUAGAACUACGUGGCCCCAAUCAGACAGGCAUCCCCAGAAAUACAGCAAAGGAGCAGGAACAUCAGCCAAGGAUAUAAGUGGCUCCCCCUACCUCAUGCACAAAGGCUGCCGCACAGGGGGGCAGAGCAGGAGAACCUUUACCCAGGGGCCAUCCCAUGCUACAACCUUCUCGUAUUGGUGUGGACCAAAGGACAGGGGAGCCAAGCUGUUGACGUCACCUCACCUCAGCCAUAGACAGGGCUCUCUCUCACACCCUCCCUCGCUGCCUGCACAAGGACGUGCUUGGCUGACGGAGGCCAAGCUGCGCUGCCCAGUGACAUCAGCUCUCCCGGUACGCACAUGUGCUUCCAUUUCAGAGACUCCUUUCAUUUGCUUCUCAUCCCUGUAG